GAUGAACGCUGGCGGCGUGCCUAAUACAUGCAAGUCGAGCGAACAGAUGAGGAGCUUGCUCCUCUGACGUUAGCGGCGGACGGGUGAGUAACACGUGGAUAACCUACCUAUAAGACUGGGAUAACUUCGGGAAACCGGAGCUAAUACCGGAUAAUAUAUUGAACCGCAUGGUUCAAUAGUGAAAGACGGUUUUGCUGUCACUUAUAGAUGGAUCCGCGCCGCAUUAGCUAGUUGGUAAGGUAACGGCUUACCGAGGCAACGAUGCGUAGCCGAUCUGAGAGGGUGAUCGGCCACACUGGAACUGAGACACGGUCCAGACUCCUACGGGAGGCAGCAGUAGGGAAUCUUCCGCAAUGGGCGAAAGCCUGACGGAGCAACGCCGCGUGAGUGAUGAAGGUCUUCGGAUCGUAAAACUCUGUUAUUAGGGAAGAACAAAUGUGUAAGUAACUAUGCACGUCUUGACGGUACCUAAUCAGAAAGCCACGGCUGACUACGUG
This 497-nucleotide ribosomal RNA is filed under the name uncultured bacterium. Its description in RNAcentral is "partial 16S ribosomal RNA". It matches the Rfam family "Bacterial small subunit ribosomal RNA", at positions 28 to 507 of the family's 1533-position model. The record is from RNAcentral.